UACGUAGGGGGCAAGCGUUGUCCGGAAUUAUUGGGCGUAAAGAGCGUGUAGGCGGCCAGAUAAGUCCGCUGUGAAAUCUCGAGGCUCAACUUCGAGCUGUCGGUGGAAACUAUCUGGCUAGAGUCCGGAAGAGGAGAAUGGAAUUCCUGGUGUAGCGGUGAAAUGCGCAGAUAUCAGGAAGAACACCCGUGGCGAAGGCGGUUCUCUGGGACGGUACUGACGCUGAGGCGCGAAAGCGUGGGGAGCAAACAGG
RNAcentral lists this ribosomal RNA (253 nucleotides) under uncultured bacterium. RNAcentral describes it as "partial 16S ribosomal RNA". It matches the Rfam family "Bacterial small subunit ribosomal RNA", at positions 524 to 776 of the family's 1533-position model. The record is from RNAcentral.